GAGACUGUGGCUUUAAGAGCGCGCCCAGAGCCCGGGAUCCGGCCGGGCGGUCCUUCGCUGCUGCGCACCCCCGCGGAGCCGAGCUCAGCGCUGGCCGGACGGGGCUGCCUGCUGCCGGUGCCAGGAAAAGCUUUGCCUCUCCCAAGGAACUGGCAUGAUUUUUCUUUGUGGGUGAGUGGAUAGAACUGAUCAUAUUUCUCUUUUCGCUUUGGCUGCCAGGAAGCACAGAACCACAUUUGUGGCUUGACUUUAGUAACUAUGGGGCCCUGCAUCCUAAUUUUUUUUCAGUGUUAACCUUAUAUUUUUUAUUUUCUCUACUUUCAAGUUAAUGAUUUAUAACUCUGUUAAUUGGAUGUAUGCUGGAUUGGGGAUUAAAAUCCAUUUUAAGUGAUAUAUUUUAGAUAUACAAACAUUGAGGCUCAGACAAGCAAAAAGGACUUGCUUAAGACACAGAACUCAUUAGGACAAGCAUAGACUGCAAGCCAUACCUUUUAUUUCUAGGGCCCAGGGCUCUUUUUUUUUUUUUCUUCCUACACCCAUGGCAUGUUUAAAUUGGGUUGAAUUACAGCUGAAUUAGAGCUGCAGCUGCCAGCCUACACCACCACCACAGCCACACCAGAUCUGAGCCACAUCUGGGACCUCCCCUGCUGCUUGGGGCAGUGCUGGAUCCUUAACCCACUGAGCAAGGCUAGGUAUCGAACCUGAAUCCUCAUGGACACUAGUUGGAUUCUUAACCCUCUCAGCCACAGCAGGAACUCCCCCAGAGCUCUUGUACUCCUGUCCAUUCUGGAAGACUACCGACUACUGACUAAAACCCUGAAUAACCCAUAAUGUCUCAAUAUUCAGCAAAGCCUACCUUUGUGAUGGGGCAAUGAGUUGUGGCGCUGCCACCCAAAUUCCUGUUUCCUGGCUGGGUCAGCAGCACUGUACUCUCCUGUCUCCUGAGUUGCAGGGUUGUCAGCUGUGCCCCAUGGUCCUGAGAAUGUAGUAUGUCCAGGCUUAGUUGGUUUUAUCUGAAAUGAGACUACCAGCUCAGAAUGAAAUCAGCCUCUCAUGUCUUGAGUUCCCUUGUGUGUUUCUUGCCACAAAAGGAAGGCUUGAUGGCCAAAGGGCAGUUGGGUGCCCCUAAGGCUCAGACCGGGUCUUCUGGGUGUAAACAGUGGUUGAGUUUGGCUGGGCUGAAGAAAGUGGCUUUAUUCUAUCUGAUGUAAAAUAUGAGUUAUUGGAAAUAUUGACCAGCCUAAUGAUUCGUUUUCCCGUGGUGUUCUGGUUGGGAGUACCUGGGGCAAGAGAGCAUAGGCUUGGAACUUAGCCCACCUGAGUCAGGAAAAUUUUGAUUCCGAUUUUGAGAUAGAGAAGUGGAACCUCUGGCCGCAGGCUGAAGCUCAACCUUGGUUUUGUUUAAUUUUCCUGGGUGAUCAGCUAAUAAAACCUUUGAGAGAUAAAGAUAAGUGUAAUAGAGCCCCUGCCCCUAAGAGCAUAUCCUCAAAUAGGAGGGAUUACGGCAUAUGUGUCAAGCAGAGUCCAAGGUAGAAAGAGUUUAAAAGUCAUUGCAGAGAUACCAAAAGAGGAAAGGCAUUUUGGAGAUGGGGCUGGGAAGAAUGAGGAAGCUUUAAACCUGCAGAAACAUGCCAGGAGAAAAGAGUGUGUGCAAAGGUCCAGAGGUAUGAACAUGAGCGGUAAUGUAUGCGGAAGGCUCAGGAGGCUUGUGGGAUGUGGGCAGGAGGCAUUGCCUGGGCUGCCAUUGCUGCAGUGGAGAAUAGCUCUGUAGAUGUGGACUGUGGCUUAAUCUCACAGUAGACCUCGGGAGGGUGAAGACCUGUGAACCGUGGCUGACACAGAGGAUGAUCAGAGGCAUCCUCAAGAGUGAGACCUUCCCUAGGGCUUCUCAAACCUGAUUGCUUUAAGAAUUCCUGGCCCAGGAGUUCCUGCUGUGGUACAGCGGGUCAAGGAUCCGACUGCAGCAGCGCAGGUCACUGCAGAGGCUCUGGUUCACUCCCUGGCCUGGCUCCGUGGGUU
RNAcentral lists this long non-coding RNA (2019 nucleotides) under Sus scrofa (pig). RNAcentral's name for it is "lncRNA (ENSSSCG00045013840.1)". Lineage: Eukaryota; Metazoa; Chordata; Mammalia; Artiodactyla; Suidae. The record is from RNAcentral.